GCGGCUAUGGCGGAAUUGGCAGACGCGCCAGAUUUAGGUUCUGGUGGGAGACCGUGCAGGUUCAAGUCCUGUUAGCCGCA
This 80-nucleotide transfer RNA is filed under the name Lachnospiraceae bacterium. Its description in RNAcentral is "tRNA-Leu". It matches the Rfam family "tRNA". From Rfam's summary of the family: Transfer RNA (tRNA) molecules are approximately 80 nucleotides in length. RNAcentral also lists the same sequence under 1 other name. The record is from RNAcentral. Lineage: Bacteria; Bacillati; Bacillota; Clostridia; Lachnospirales; Lachnospiraceae.